RNAcentral lists this ribosomal RNA (253 nucleotides) under uncultured bacterium. RNAcentral describes it as "partial 16S ribosomal RNA". It matches the Rfam family "Bacterial small subunit ribosomal RNA", at positions 524 to 776 of the family's 1533-position model. The record is from RNAcentral.
GACGGAGGAUGCAAGUGUUAUCCGGAAUCACUGGGCGUAAAGCGUCUGUAGGUGGUUUAAAAAGUCUACUGUUAAAAUUUGAAGCUUAACUUCAAAGAUGCCGUAGAAACUUUUAAACUUGAGGAUGGUAGGGGUAGAGGGAAUUUCCAGUGGAGCGGUGAAAUGCGUAGAUCUUGGAAAGACCACCAAUGGCGAAGGCACUCUACUGGGCCAUUACUGACACUAAGAGACGAAAGCUAGGGGAGCAAAUGGG